GAAGGGCGGGGCGGAGCCGGGCAGCGCUGCGCAUGCGCACUGGCUUUACCCGCCCGGUGCUGUUGCUCCGUGGGUACCGUCCGGCGCUGCCCGGGAGCGGCUUGGAAGCAGCGGGUUCGGUUCCCGGCUGCGGCAGCGGCGGGCGAGGGUUGUGGUGACAAUGGAGGAGGGCGGCUGUUGCUGUGGCUGCAGCGAGGUGGAAAGUGAGCGGAGAACGGCGACGCAGCGUGUGCCGGGAAAAGACCCGAGGGGGGGCGGCCCCGGAGCAGAGCCGGGCGGGAGCGGGCGGCGGGGACUGCGCGGGGCGAAGGCAGUCCCGGCGCGGGCGCGGAGCCGGGGAGGAGCUGCGGGGCUGGGGCCGGGGCUUGCGGGCGGCACGGCGGGACCUCCCUGCAGAGCCUUUCCUGGGAAACAAAACCUGCAGUUUGUCCCACCUCGGCCCCGUGGCAAGGGGCAGCGCAACCGAGGGGAGCAGCGCCUGAGCAGGGGCGGCAGCGUGCGGGCGCAGGGAAGACGCGGCUGGUGCUGGAGCGAGAACGUGCAGGUUUCUUACAUUUAAAUGAACGUGGAAAGCAGGGAGAGAGGUGGUAUAAAAGCACCGGGUGCUCGGGCAGGUGAGACAGGACUCAGGGGAGGGAGUCGCUUUCCUGAGCUCCUGAAGUUCCACUUGACUCUCUCAGGAGCACUCGUGAGAAGUUUCCCAUUUGGAGUUGGGCUCCAAAAGGAAGGAACUUGAAACCGCUUCUUCUGAUAAAUCCCCCAGGGCUGAGCUGGAGAACGGGUGGAGACAGUGGCAAGCGGGAGUCCCAUGUUUACAUCUGCCCUUGGAUUCCACUUUCUUCCAGUGGGUCUGUACUGCCCGAAGUACAAAGGAAGGAGGUGUUGGAGUACCUGUUUGUUCACCUGUUGAGCUUGGAAGAGAUGCUGAGUGUGAAAUUCCAGGGGUGCCGGCUCCUUGUGAGCUGUUGGUUGCUCAGGAGAUUGGGUCGGGGAAAGGGGGGAAGAGUCCGAGCACAGCACAGUGGUAGGAGCUGGGUUUGCAUCUCAAUCUAAGGCAUCUCAAAGCCUGAUAAGCUGGAAAGAAGACUUUGCUGUGUUAAUGCA
This is a long non-coding RNA of Corvus hawaiiensis (hawaiian crow), 1104 nucleotides long. RefSeq lists it as uncharacterized. The record is from RefSeq and is a predicted model, not a curated record. The transcript is spliced from 2 exons. NCBI's taxonomy places the organism in Eukaryota, Metazoa, Chordata, Aves, Passeriformes, Corvidae.